GGCGGGCUUACCAUGCAAGUCGAGCGGUAACAGGGGAAGCUUGCUUCCCGCUGACGAGCGGCGGACGGGUGAGUAAUGCUUAGGAAUCUGCCCAGUAGUGGGGGAUAGCCCGGGGAAACCCGGAUUAAUACCGCAUACGUCCUACGGGAGAAAGCAGGGGAUCUUCGGACCUUGCGCUAUUGGAUGAGCCUAAGUCGGAUUAGCUAGUUGGUGGGGUAAAGGCCUACCAAGGCGACGAUCCGUAGCUGGUCUGAGAGGAUGAUCAGCCACAUCGGGACUGAGACACGGCCCGAACUCCUACGGGAGGCAGCAGUGGGGAAUAUUGGACAAUGGGGGCAACCCUGAUCCAGCCAUGCCGCGUGUGUGAAGAAGGCUUUCGGGUUGUAAAGCACUUUCAGUAGGGAGGAAAACCUUAUGGCUAAUACCCAUGAGGCUUGACGUUACCUACAGAAGAAGCACCGGCUAACUCCGUGCCAGCAGCCGCGGUAAUACGGAGGGUGCAAGCGUUAAUCGGAAUUACUGGGCGUAAAGCGCGCGUAGGUGGUUUGGUAAGCGAGAUGUGAAAGCCCCGGGCUUAACCUGGGAACGGCAUUUCGAACUGUCAGACUAGAGUGUGGUAGAGGGUAGUGGAAUUUCCUGUGUAGCGGUGAAAUGCGUAGAUAUAGGAAGGAACACCAGUGGCGAAGGCGGCUACCUGGACCAACACUGACACUGAGGUGCGAAAGCGUGGGGAGCAAACAGGAUUAGAUACCCUGGUAGUCCACGCCGUAAACGAUGUCAACUAGCCGUUGGGACUCUUGAAGUCUUAGUGGCGCAGCUAACGCACUAAGUUGACCGCCUGGGGAGUACGGCCGCAAGGUUAAAACUCAAAUGAAUUGACGGGGGCCCGCACAAGCGGUGGAGCAUGUGGUUUAAUUCGACGCAACGCGAAGAACCUUACCUGGGCCUUGACAUCCAGAGAACUUUCCAGAGAUGGAUUGGUGCCUUCGGGAACUCUGAGACAGGUGCUGCAUGGCCCGUCGUCAGCUCGUGUCGUGAGAUGUUGGGUUAAGUCCCGUAACGAGCGCAACCCCUAUCCCUGGUUGCUAGCAGGUAAUGCUGAGAACUCCAGGGAGACUGCCGGUGACAAACCGGAGGAAGGUGGGGAUGACGUCAGGUCAUCAUGGCCCUUACGGCCAGGGCUACACACGUGCUACAAUGGCGCGUACAGAGGGCUGCCAACUCGCGAGAGUGAGCCAAUCCCUUAAAACGCGUCGUAGUCCGGAUCGGAGUCUGCAACUCGACUCCGUGAAGUCGGAAUCGCUAGUAAUCGCGAAUCAGAAUGUCGCGGUGAAUACGUUCCCGGGCCUUGUACACACCGCCCGUCACACCAUGGGAGUGGAUUGCACCAGAAGUAGUUAGUCUAACCUUCGGGAGGACGAUACCACGG
This 1429-nucleotide ribosomal RNA is filed under the name Marinobacter sp. JNU-SGY006. RNAcentral's name for it is "bacterial SSU rRNA". It matches the Rfam family "Bacterial small subunit ribosomal RNA". The record is from RNAcentral. Lineage: Bacteria; Pseudomonadati; Pseudomonadota; Gammaproteobacteria; Pseudomonadales; Marinobacteraceae.